UACGAAGGGGGCUAGCGUUAUUCGGAAUUACUGGGCGUAAAGCGCACGUAGGCGGAUACUUGAAGUCAGGGGUGAAAUCCCGGGGCUCAACCCCGGAACUGCCUUUGAUACUGAGGAUCUUGAGUUCGGGAGAGGUGAGUGGAACUGCGAGUGUAGAGGUGAAAUUCGUAGAUAUUCGCAAGAACACCAGUGGCGAAGGCGGCUC
This 205-nucleotide ribosomal RNA is filed under the name uncultured bacterium. RNAcentral's name for it is "partial 16S ribosomal RNA". It matches the Rfam family "Bacterial small subunit ribosomal RNA", at positions 524 to 727 of the family's 1533-position model. The record is from RNAcentral.